UUGGGAAAUCGGGUGAUCAUUCUCCGCCACAUUUUUUUGUAAAACAAAAAUUUGGGCGGGGGGAAGGAAAGUCCGAACACUCUCCCGCUUUUAGCGGGAUCCCGCAAAAUGCGGGAUCCCGUCGCAGCGGGAUAAAAUGGUAGCGGGCAAUUCCCGUCCCCCGCAGCAAUGCGAGAAGAGGUGCGAACAGAGACGCUGAGACCCGAAAGGGUUGAAGCGUCCGCCACAUUUUUUCGCUUCGCGAAAAAUCGGGCGGACGAAUCCCUUAGGAAACUUUGGGAGUGAAACGGUUAAAUCCUUACCGGGGUGCAAGAACAAAUCAGGAAUUUUGCUUUCAUGUAAAAUUUCUGGAAAAGUAGUUCGCUUGACCCCGCAAGUAAUUGCGGGGCUAGAUAGAUGAUCACACAAAUACAGAAUUCGGCUUAUAGAUUUCCCAAAACA
This 441-nucleotide RNase P RNA is filed under the name Candidatus Nealsonbacteria bacterium CG_4_8_14_3_um_filter_39_7. RNAcentral's name for it is "RNase P RNA component class A". It matches the Rfam family "Bacterial RNase P class A". From Rfam's summary of the family: Ribonuclease P (RNase P) is a ubiquitous endoribonuclease, found in archaea, bacteria and eukarya as well as chloroplasts and mitochondria. Its best characterised activity is the generation of mature 5'-ends of tRNAs by cleaving the 5'-leader elements of precursor-tRNAs. Lineage: Bacteria; Candidatus Nealsoniibacteriota. The record is from RNAcentral.